CUGGAGGGGCAGGGCGGGGUGGGAGGGGCAGGGCAGGGUGGGAGGGGCGAGGACGGAGGGGAGGGGAGGAGAUGGAAGGGAGGGCGGGGCGGGGAUGGAGGAGAAGGGUGGAGCAGGGAGAGGCGGAGGGGCGAAAAGAGGAUGAAGGGGAGAGGAGAGGCGGGAUGAUCCCCCGCAGCUCUGAACGCCCGGCCUGCCUGUGCUUCGUGCGUUGCUGGGAGCGCCCCUGCCGGAGGCUCCCGGGCGGGUCGGCGUCCGCUUCCAGAGCCGAGGCCGGUUCUCACCCGGGCGGCCACGCCGCGCGCUGAACGGUUCCCCGCUGUCUCGGCUGAAAUGGGUGGGCAGAUCCUGUGAGCUACUUUUAAGUGCUAUAAUGAGCACCCUGAUUGCCAGCCCUGGGAGCAGCAAUGGCUCCGGGGAGCGGAGGGGGUGUCGUCCGCGCCCAUGUGCCAGGUCUGGACGCACGGAAGCCACAGCGGUGAUGGGCCCAGCGGAUAUUCCUCCGGGUGCGGGGUUGGGAAAUGGCUGGCGGGCCGCUGGACAGGAGCGCUGUCUCCCUGAGAUUUGCGGGGCUCGGGCUUGUGCAGCAGACUCUACGGGCGAACCCAGCCACGGAUGUCUGCAGGCAGCCCUGCGCGCGUGCAGACUCCAGGCAGGAGGCCAUGGCUCCCUCGUUCCUGCUCUGCCUGCGCCCUCACCCACCAGGCCGGCCGGGAUGACUGGGACCGACGGGGCUUUAUGGAAUGCAAAACUUUCGCUCCGCACAGCUGCCAGAAAGAGCUCUCAGAUCUGUGAUAUCGCAGGACCCAGCAUGGUUCUAUAUGCAGUUUGA
Molecule: long non-coding RNA, 832 nt
Organism: Callithrix jacchus (white-tufted-ear marmoset)
Lineage: Eukaryota; Metazoa; Chordata; Mammalia; Primates; Cebidae
Source: Ensembl